UGAACGCUGGCGGCAUGCCUUACACAUGCAGGUCGAACGGUAACGCGGGGCAACCUGGCGACGAGUGGCGAACGGGUGAGUAAUAUAUCGGAACGUGCCCAGUAGUGGGGGAUAGCCCGGCGAAAGCCGGAUUAAUACCGCAUACGACCUAUGGGUGAAAGCGGGGGAUCGCAAGACCUCGCGCUAUUGGAGCGGCCGAUAUCAGAUUAGCUAGUUGGUGGGGUAAAGGCCUACCAAGGCGACGAUCUGUAGCUGGUCUGAGGGGACGACCAGCCACACUGGGACUGAGACACGGCCCAGACUCCUACGGGAGGCAGCAGUGGGGAAUUUUGGACAAUGGGCGCAAGCCUGAUCCAGCCA
This 360-nucleotide ribosomal RNA is filed under the name uncultured bacterium. Its description in RNAcentral is "bacterial SSU rRNA". It matches the Rfam family "Bacterial small subunit ribosomal RNA", at positions 30 to 394 of the family's 1533-position model. The record is from RNAcentral.